This 68-nucleotide transfer RNA is filed under the name Dictyocaulus viviparus (bovine lungworm). It matches the Rfam family "tRNA". Rfam says of the family: Transfer RNA (tRNA) molecules are approximately 80 nucleotides in length. Their secondary structure includes four short double-helical elements and three loops (D, anti-codon, and T loops). Further hydrogen bonds mediate the characteristic L-shaped molecular structure. tRNAs have two regions of fundamental functional importance: the anti-codon, which is responsible for specific mRNA codon recognition, and the 3' end, to which the tRNAs corresponding amino acid is attached (by aminoacyl-tRNA synthetases). tRNAs cope with the degeneracy of the genetic code in two manners: having more than one tRNA (with a specific anti-codon) for a particular amino acid; and 'wobble' base-pairing, i.e. permitting non-standard base-pairing at the 3rd anti-codon position. Lineage: Eukaryota; Metazoa; Nematoda; Chromadorea; Rhabditida; Metastrongylidae. The record is from Rfam by way of RNAcentral.
ACUAUGGUAAUGAAUCAGCAUGGCAGACCGGAUAUCUGUAAGCACGGGUUCGAGUCCCGUCUGAGGUU